GGGUGGGGAGCACUGGGACUGGAGCUGGGGUGUUGUCUGUCUCCACUCAAUGGGAGGGGUGCGGAGCACUGGGACUGGAGCUGGGGUGUUGUCUGUCUCCACUCGAUGGGAGGGGAGGGGAGCACUGGGACUGGAGCUGGGGUGCUGUCUGUCUCCACUCAACUGGAGGUGUGGGGAGCACUGGGACUGGAGGUGGGGUGUUGUCUGUCUCCACUCAAUGGGAGGGGUGGGGAGCACUGGGACUGGAGCUGCGGUGUUGUCAGUCUCCAUGCAAUGGGACGUGUGGGGAGCACUGGGACUGGAGCUGGGGUGUUGUCUGAUUUCACUCAAUGGGAGGGGGCAUUCGCACUGGGACUGGAGCUGGGGUGUUGUCAGUCUCCAUGCAAUGGGAGGGGUGAGGACCACUGAGAUUGGAACUGGGGUGUUGUCUGUCUCCACUCGAUGGGAGGGGUGCGGAGCACUGGGACUGGAGCUGGGGUGUUGUCUGUCUCCACUCGAUGGGAGGUGUGGGGAGCACUGGGACUGGAGCUGGGGUGUUGUCUGAUUUUAUUCAAUGGGAGGGGUGGUUAUCACUGAGACCGGAGCUGGGGUAUUGUCUUUCUCCACUCAACGGGACGUGUGGGGAGCACUGGGACUGGAGCUGGGGUGUUGUCUGAUUUCACUCAAUGGGAGGGGGCAUUCGCACUGGGACUGGAGCUGGGGUGUUGUCUGUUUUCUCUCAAUGGGAGGGGUGGGGAGUACUGGGACCGGAGCUGGGGUGUUGUCUGUCUCCAUGCAAUGGGAGGGGUGAGGACCACUGAGAUUGGAACUGGGGUGUUGUCUGUCUCCACUCGAUGGGAGGGGUGGGGAGCACUGGGACUGGAGGUGUGGUGUUGUCUGUCUCCACUCAAUGGGAGGUGUCGGAGCACUGGGACUGGAGCUGGGGUGUUGUCUGUCUCCAAUCAAUGGGAGGGGUGGGGAGCACUGGGACUGGAGCUGGGUUGCUGUCUGCCUCCACUGAAUGGCAGGGGUGGGGAGCACUGGGACUGGAGCUGGGGUGUUGUCUGUCUCCACUCAACGGGAGGGGUGGGGAGCACUGGGACUGGAGCUGGGGUGUUGUCUGAUUUCACUCAAUGGGAGGGGGCAUUCGCACUGGGACUGGAGCUGGGGUGUUGUCUGUUUUCUCUCAAUGGGAGGGGUGGGGAGUACUGGGACCGGAGCUGGGGUGUUGUCUGUCUCCGUUCAAUGGGAGGGGUGGGGAGCACUGUGACCGGGGCUGGGGUGUUGUCUGUCUCCGUUCAAUGGGAGGGGUGGGGAGCACUGGGACUGGAGCUGGGGUGUUGUCUGUCUCCACUCGAUGGGAGGGGUGCGGAACACUGGGACUGGAGCUGGGGUGUUGUCUGUCUCCACUCGAUGGGAGGGGUGGGGAGCACUGGGACUGGAGCUGGGGUGUUGUCUGUCUCCACUCAAUGGGAGGGGUGGGGAGUACUGGGACUGGAGCUGGGUUGUUGUCUGUCUCCACUCGAUGGGAGGUGUGGGGAGCACUGGGACUGGAGCUGGGGUGUUGUCUGAUUUUAUUCAAUGGGAGGGGUGGUUAUCACUGAGACCGGAGCUGGGGUAUUGUCUUUCUCCACUCAACGGGACGUGUGGGGAGCACUGGGACUGGAGCUGGGGUGUUGUCUGAUUUCACUCAAUGGGAGGGGGCAUUCGCACUGGGACUGGAGCUGGGGUGUUGUCUGUUUUCUCUCAAUGGGAGGGGUGGGGAGUACUGGGACCGGAGCUGGGGUGUUGUCUGUCUCCAUGCAAUGGGAGGGGUGAGGACCACUGAGAUUGGAACUGGGGUGUUGUCUGUCUCCACUCGAUGGGAGGGGUGGGGAGCACUGGGACUGGAGGUGUGGUGUUGUCUUUCUCCACUCAACGGGAGGGGUGGGGAGCACUGGGACUGGAGCUGGGGUGUUGUCUGAUUUCACUCAAUGGGAGGGGGCAUUCGCACUGGGACUGGAGCUGGGGUGUUGUCUGUUUUCUCUCAAUGGGAGGGGUGGGGAGUACUGGGACCGGAGCUGGGGUGUUGUCUGUCUCCGUUCAAUGGGAGGGGUGGGGAGCACUGUGACCGGGGCUGGGGUGUUGUCUGUCUCCGUUCAAUGGGAGGGGUGGGGAGCACUGGGACUGGAGCUGGGGUGUUGUCUGUCUCCACUCGAUGGGAGGGGUGCGGAACACUGGGACUGGAGCUGGGGUGUUGUCUGUCUCCACUCGAUGGGAGGGGUGGGGAGCACUGGGACUGGAGCUGGGGUGUUGUCUGUCUCCACUCAAUGGGAGGGGUGGGGAGUACUGGGACUGGAGCUGGGUUGUUGUCUGUCUCCACUCGAUGGGAGGUGUGGGGAGCACUGGGACUGGAGCUGGGGUGUUGUCUGAUUUUAUUCAAUGGGAGGGGUGGUUAUCACUGAGACCGGAGCUGGGGUAUUGUCUUUCUCCACUCAACGGGACGUGUGGGGAGCACUGGGACUGGAGCUGGGGUGUUGUCUGAUUUCACUCAAUGGGAGGGGGCAUUCGCACUGGGACUGGAGCUGGGGUGUUGUCUGUUUUCUCUCAAUGGGAGGGGUGGGGAGUACUGGGACCGGAGCUGGGGUGUUGUCUGUCUCCAUGCAAUGGGAGGGGUGAGGACCACUGAGAUUGGAACUGGGGUGUUGUCUGUCUCCACUCGAUGGGAGGGGUGGGGAGCACUGGGACUGGAGGUGUGGUGUUGUCUUUCUCCACUCAACGGGAGGGGUGGGGAGCACUGGGACUGGAGCUGGGGUGUUGUCUGAUUUCACUCAAUGGGAGGGGGCAUUCGCACUGGGACUGGAGCUGGGGUGUUGUCUGUUUUCUCUCAAUGGGAGGGGUGGGGAGUACUGGGACCGGAGCUGGGGUGUUGUCUGUCUCCGUUCAAUGGGAGGGGUGGGGAGCACUGUGACCGGGGCUGGGGUGUUGUCUGUCUCCGUUCAAUGGGAGGGGUGGGGAGCACUGGGACUGGAGCUGGGGUGUUGUCUGUCUCCACUCGAUGGGAGGGGUGCGGAACACUGGGACUGGAGCUGGGGUGUUGUCUGUCUCCACUCGAUGGGAGGGGUGGGGAGCACUGGGACUGGAGCUGGGGUGUUGUCUGUCUCCACUCGAAUGGGAGGGGUGGGGAGCUCUGGGACUGGAGGUGGGGUGUUGUCUGUCUGCACUCAAUGGGAGGGGUGGGGACACUGGGACUGGAACUGGGGUGUUGUCUGUCUUCACUCAUUGGGAGGGGUGCGGAACACUGGGACUUGUGGUGAACUCUGUGCCUGUCUGGACACGCCCCCUGCUGACUGCUCCUGUGGCUCCUCCCACAGGCCCCUGUAUAAAGGAGAUCUGCGGCCUGACGCUCGGCCUCAGUCUCCAGGACAUUGUAUGAUAGACACUCACUCCUGGUUCCUUCUUUCAGUCAAUAAAAGCCGAUAUCUCGC
Molecule: long non-coding RNA, 3446 nt
Organism: Hypanus sabinus (Atlantic stingray)
Lineage: Eukaryota; Metazoa; Chordata; Chondrichthyes; Myliobatiformes; Dasyatidae
Exons: 2
Source: RefSeq, a predicted model, not a curated record